UACUCCUGGCGGGACAAACUAAAUAAUCGAACCCGCGACAUUGGGCUCAUAAGACCCACACUCUACCACUGAGAUACAAGAGC
RNAcentral lists this transfer RNA (83 nucleotides) under Cryptomonas paramaecium. RNAcentral describes it as "Cryptomonas paramecium tRNA-Ile". Lineage: Eukaryota; Cryptophyceae; Cryptomonadales; Cryptomonadaceae. The record is from RNAcentral.